This is a long non-coding RNA of Carlito syrichta (Philippine tarsier), 455 nucleotides long. RefSeq lists it as uncharacterized. The transcript has 3 exons. The record is from RefSeq and is a predicted model, not a curated record. NCBI's taxonomy places the organism in Eukaryota, Metazoa, Chordata, Mammalia, Primates, Tarsiidae.
AAGCUUGUUGCUGCGUGAACGCGUCCUUCCUUCGUGCAAACACUAGUGUGUGGACGUGGGGACGAAUGGAUUAGCCCUGACUUCCCUACCAUUGGCGGUCAAAGUGGCCCCGACUCGGGACGACGAUUGACGGGGAUCAAGGGACUGCCCAUUCUGUGCCUGUAAGGACGGAUUCGUGCCAGAGAAACUCAUCAAGUGGAGGCGGAGAAUAAAGCCCGCGCGGGGCUUGUCAAUGCGACCAUUGCUUUGAUGGGAGGCUCGGCAAGGUGACACAUUUCUGAACUCCAUCCUCUUUUCAAACUAACUCCCUACCUCCUUGUUAGUGGCCGGCUCUGAACUUCUGCAGAGUGUUUUUGUGUGAGUCAAGGCUCAUUCACGGGCGCCUUUGUGGGCCUCUCCUCCUUUCAGGCCUCAGCGUGUUACACCAAUUAAAGGGCGACGUGCUGUAAAUGUAA